CCUACGGGAGGCAGCAGUAGGGAAUAUUGCACAAUGGGGGAAACCCUGAUGCAGCAACGCCGCGUGAGUGAUGACGGCCUUCGGGUUGUAAACCUCUGUCUUCAGGGACGAUAAUGACGGUAUCUAACGAAUAAGCAACGGCUAACUACGUGCCAGCAGCCGCGGUAAUACGGAGGUGGCAAGCGUUAUCCGGAUUUACUGGGCGUAAAGAGAGCGUAGGCGGGAUUGCAAGUCAGAUGUGAAAUCCUCGGGCUUAACUAUAGUGCUGCAUUUGAAACUGGUAUUCUAGAGUGUAGGAGAGGAGAGUGGAAUUCUUGGUGUAGCGGUAAAAUGCGUAGAGAUUAGGAGGAAAACGCGUGGCGAAGGCGA
This 369-nucleotide ribosomal RNA is filed under the name uncultured bacterium. RNAcentral describes it as "partial 16S ribosomal RNA". It matches the Rfam family "Bacterial small subunit ribosomal RNA", at positions 338 to 724 of the family's 1533-position model. The record is from RNAcentral.